AGAUGCCUUAUUAUCUUCUCCCGGCAGGGUUUUGAGCCCAAGAAUAAAGGCUCAAGUUCUAUCAAAGAGAAGAUGGUGAUCCUGAAACAGAUGCUUCUCCUUCAGCCCCUGGAGGAAGCACUUGUCUUGGUGGUUUUGGACAGAAAGAGAGGCAAAAGGUUCCCCUUUCUCAGAAGGAUCUGGGAUGGUCAAGGAGCUAGUUGGUCUUCAAGGGGAUGCUUUUACAAGACUGAGAGAGUGAAAGGAAAUAAAGGAAAGUGGACAUUGUUGUGAAGCUGCAAGCAUUUAUUAGUAGCCAUCAUUUAUGCCUCCUGCGUGCCAGCCAUUGUACAGAAAUUGUCCCUUAUAAGCCAAACUCUGACAUCAACCCACUGACUACAUAAGAAGUAUGUCGCGAGAGAUCCAGGCUCACCCAGGUCACGUGGCUCCUCCUUUGCAGACAACACAAGGC
RNAcentral lists this long non-coding RNA (451 nucleotides) under Fukomys damarensis (Damara mole-rat). RNAcentral describes it as "lncRNA (ENSFDAG00000025429.1)". Lineage: Eukaryota; Metazoa; Chordata; Mammalia; Rodentia; Bathyergidae. The record is from RNAcentral.